GGUGUAGUUCAGUUGGCUAGAGCGCCAGAUUGUGGCUCUGGAGGUCGUGGGUUCGAGCCCCACCAC
This 66-nucleotide transfer RNA is filed under the name human gut metagenome. It matches the Rfam family "tRNA", at positions 5 to 66 of the family's 71-position model. From Rfam's summary of the family: Transfer RNA (tRNA) molecules are approximately 80 nucleotides in length. Their secondary structure includes four short double-helical elements and three loops (D, anti-codon, and T loops). The record is from RNAcentral. RNAcentral also lists the same sequence under 3 other names.